This 301-nucleotide ribosomal RNA is filed under the name uncultured bacterium. RNAcentral's name for it is "partial 16S ribosomal RNA". It matches the Rfam family "Bacterial small subunit ribosomal RNA", at positions 509 to 807 of the family's 1533-position model. The record is from RNAcentral.
CAGUCGCCGCGGGAAUACGAAGGGGGCUAGCGUUAAUCGGAAUUACUGGGCGUAAAGCGUGCGCAGGCGGUCCGCUAAGACAGAUGUGAAAUCCCCGGGCUUAACCUGGGACCUGCAUUUGUGACUGUAUAGCUAGAGUACGGUAGAGGGGGAUGGAAUUCCGCGUGUAGCAGUGAAAUGCGUAGAUAUGCGGAGGAACACCGAUGGCGAAGGCAAUCCCCUGGACCUGUACUGACGCUCAUGCACGAAAGCGUGGGGAGCAAACAGGAUUAGAUACCCGUGUAGUCCCUGUCUCUUAUAC